UCACUCAAAGAUGAUCCCGCGUUGUAUUAGCUAGUUGGUGAGGUAAAGGCUCACCAAGGCGAUGAUACAUAGCCGACCUGAGAGGGUGAUCGGCCACAUUGGGACUGAGACACGGCCCAAACUCCUACGGGAGGCAGCAGUAGGGAAUCUUCGGCAAUGGACGAAAGUCUGACCGAGCAACGCCGCGUGAGUGAAGAAGGUUUUCGGAUCGUAAAACUCUGUUGGUAGAGAAGAACGUUGGUGAGAGUGGAAAGCUCAUCAAGUGACGGUAACUACCCAGAAAGGGACGGCUAACUACGUGCCAGCAGCCGCGGUAAUACGUAGGUCCCGAGCGUUGUCCGGAUUUAUUGGGCGUAAAGCGAGCGCAGGUGGUUUAUUAAGUCUGGUGUAAAAGGCAGUGGCUCAACCAUUGUAUGCAUCGGAAACUGGUAGACUUGAGUGCAGGAGAGGAGAGUGGAAUUCCAUGUGUAGCGGUGAAAUGCGUAGAUAU
This 490-nucleotide ribosomal RNA is filed under the name uncultured bacterium. RNAcentral's name for it is "bacterial SSU rRNA". It matches the Rfam family "Bacterial small subunit ribosomal RNA", at positions 215 to 697 of the family's 1533-position model. The record is from RNAcentral.